This 1377-nucleotide long non-coding RNA is filed under the name Canis lupus familiaris (dog). Its description in RNAcentral is "lncRNA (ENSCAFG00030021120.1)". Lineage: Eukaryota; Metazoa; Chordata; Mammalia; Carnivora; Canidae. The record is from RNAcentral.
AAACCAAUCAAGGCCUGCUCUUUCCUGGCCCUGGCCACCUUUCCUGCCUCCAGCCUCCUCCCUCCAGCCUCCUGCCUUCACCCUCCUGCCUCCAGCCUCCUGCCUCCAGCCUCCAGCCUUAAGCCUCCUGCCUCCAGCCUUCAGCCUCCUACCUCUAGCCUCCUGCCUUCAGCCUCCUGCCUCCUGCCUUCAGCCUCCUGCCUCCUGCCUCCAGCCUCCUGCAAACCAGCCUCCUGCCUGCAAUCUUCUGCCUUCACCCUCCUGCCUCCUGCCUCCUGCCUCCAGCUUCCUGUCUUCAGCCUCCUGCCUCCAGCCUCCUGCCUGCAAUCUUCUGCCUUCACCCUCCAGCUUCCUGCCUCCAGCCUCCUACCUCCAACCUCCUGCCUUCAGCCUCCUGCCUUCAGCCUCCUGCCUCCAGUCUCCAGCCUCCUGCCUGAAGUCUCCUACCUCCAGCCUUCAGUCUCCUGCCUCCAGCCUCCUGCCCUCAACCUCCUGCCUCUAACCUCCUGCCUCCAGCCUCCUGCCUUCAGCCUCCUAUCUUCAGCCUCCUGCCUUUACCCUCCCACCUCCAGACUCCUGCCUUCAGCCUCCUGCCUCCUGCCUCCAGCCUCCAGCCUUCAGCCUCCUACCUCUAGCCUCCUGCCUUCAGCCUCCUGCCUUCAGCCUCCUGCCUCCCGUCUCCAGCCUCCAGCCUUCAGCCUUCAGCCUCCUGCAAACCAGCCUCCUGCCUGCAAUCUUCUGCCUUCACCCUCCUGCCUCCUGCCUCCUGCCUCCAGCCUCCUGCCUUCAGCCUCCUGCCUCCAGCCUCCUGCCUGCAAUCUUCUGCCUUCACCCUCCAGCUUCCUGCCUCCAGCCUACCUCCAACCUCCUGCCUUCAGCCUCCUGCCUUCAGCCUCCUGCCUCCAGUCUCUAGCCUCCUGCCUGAAGUCUCCUACCUCCAGCCUCCAGCCUCCUGCCUUCAGGCUCCUGCCUCCAGCCUCCUGCCUGCAAUCUUCUGCCUUCACCCUCCAGCUUCCUGCCUCCAGCCUACCUCCAACCUCCUGCCUUCAGCCUCCUGCCUUCAGCCUCCUGCCUCCAGUCUCUAGCCUCCUGCCUUCAGCCUCCUGCCUCCUGCCUUCAGCCUCCUGCCUCCCGUCUCCAGCCUCCAGCCUUCAGCCUUCAGCCUCCUGCAAACCAGCCUCCUGCCUGCAAUCUUCUGCCUUCACCCUCCUGCCUCCUGCCUCCAGCCUCCUGCCUUCAGCCUCCUGCCUCCAGCCUCCUGCCUGCAAUCUUCUGCCUUCACCCUCCAGCUUCCUGCCUCCAGCCUACCUCCAACCUCCUGCCUUCAGCCUCCUGCCUUCAGCCUCCUGCCUUCAGCCUCCUGCCUCCAGUCUCUAG